This 370-nucleotide long non-coding RNA is filed under the name Dromaius novaehollandiae (emu). RNAcentral describes it as "lncRNA (ENSDNVG00000017902.1)". The record is from RNAcentral. Lineage: Eukaryota; Metazoa; Chordata; Aves; Casuariiformes; Dromaiidae.
CGCCCGGCGCCGGGCGGCGGCCGCUGCUGUCUGCUGCCGCGCCGCUUCGGCUUCGCCUACGCCGCGUCGUCGGCGGUGGGGCCGGGCUGCGCCGUGCUCGACCAGGCCUUCCGGCGCUACUGGGAGCUGCUCUUCGCCGGUGCCCGCUCGGAGGGGCAUGAGCAACCCUGCGGAAAGCCCUGUGCCCAGCUCCUGGUCUCUGUGGCCUCUCCAGGGUGCGAUGGGUUUCCCAGCCUGGACUCCAAGGAGAGCUAUGAGCUCUCCAUCGCAGAGGACUCCUUGCUGCUGUCUGCAGAUGCUGUCUGGGGAGCUCUCAGAGGCCUGGAGACGUUCAGCCAGCUUGUUGGGCGAGACGAGGAUGGCACGUACU